UGAGGAAUAUUGGUCAAUGGGAGCAAUCCUGAACCAGCAAUGCCGCGUGUGGGAUGACGGGGCUCAGCCCUGUAAACCACUGUCGGACGGGACGAAAGGAGCCUUCAGGGCUCUGGGACGGUACCGUCAAAGGAAGGGUCGGCUAACUACGUGCCAGCAGCCGCGGUAAUACGUAGGACCCGAGCGUUGUCCGGAAUUACUGGGUAUAAAGGGUGCGCAGGCGGCCGUGUGCGUCAGAGGUGAAAUCUCCGGGCUUAACCCGGAGGGUGCCUUUGAUACGGCAUGGCUUGAGUCCGAGAGAGGUGAUGGAAUUCCUGGUGUAGCAGUGAAAUGCGUAGAUAUCAGGAGGAACACCGGUGGCGAAGGCGGUCACCUGGCUCGGCACUGACGCUUAGGCACGAA
RNAcentral lists this ribosomal RNA (402 nucleotides) under uncultured bacterium. RNAcentral describes it as "bacterial SSU rRNA". It matches the Rfam family "Bacterial small subunit ribosomal RNA", at positions 355 to 757 of the family's 1533-position model. The record is from RNAcentral.